Molecule: long non-coding RNA, 2196 nt
Filed under: Homo sapiens (human)
Lineage: Eukaryota; Metazoa; Chordata; Mammalia; Primates; Hominidae
Description: non-protein coding lnc-NRF1-1:1
Source: RNAcentral
GAACACCUGGAAUUACUUCUGACUUUUGCCCUCCUACUCCUUCACUAUCUCAUCAGUUAUCAAGCAGUGUUGAAUUUUUCUUUAUCGCCUUUGUUGGCGUUCUUCUUUUCAUUUCUUCCAGCCAUCUCCAACCUGUUAGGGAGUUUAGGAAAUUGUUCAAAGACUGAUUAAUAAGAUGGUAUGGAGAGGAUGUUUGGUUGGGGAUGUGGGAAUGUCUGAAUCCUGUCUUGGCCAGCCAUCUCUACUCAUCAGGAGUGUGGGGAGUACAUGUGCAAUGACACACCAGGGAAAGGAACACUUUAUUAUUAGCUGGGUAUGAACCACAAUGCAGAAGUCAGGAAAGAUAGGCUGGAUUCUGGUCAUCUCUGUCUAUCCUCCCCACAUCAAUGCCCAAAUUUGAGUCUUGGAACUUUUCUUCCGAGUGGGAUAGAGGCACACUAACCAGAAAAAGUAGAGAGAAAGACAAAUCCACAGCCUCUUUGCCCCAAGCCCGGGGCCUUGCUAAGACUUUUUCUGUGGGCCAUAGCCUUAGGGCCUGGCUACCUUGUGGGAGAGGGAAAGAGAACAAGCUGGCUGGGCUGCCUCUGAGAAAGGCAAGGGCAGCCCUUGUUACCACUCAGAGUAUGUUGAAGAACGGGAAAGACGCAGCACUUUCUGUUGAACGUGUUAUCUUUUAAGGGCUCCAUCCCAAGAAAAUGUUAUGAAUGCCAAAUUUAAUCAUCCAGCGAACAGACUGGCUGGAUCUAAUCAAGAGGGGAAGGAACCUGGGUGAGGUUACCAGAAUUUCACCUACUUCAUAACCAAAUCAACAGAUCCAACAAGAAUUAAAUAAGGCAUCACGGGAAUCUAAUCUGUAGGGAAGGGUGUGGGGAGACCCUUGUGGAAACAGCAUCUAUGUGAAAGGGACUUGAUGUGUUCACAGUGGUAGCAGAAGAAUCUCUGUGUCUUGACUCUUAGCCAAAAAUCUCCAGCCAAAACACAGCCUCCCCUGUUCUCCUGCAAAGGUAAGCCCAGUCCGUUUGGGGCAGUAACCUCAGUUUGCUCAGAAUGGUAAAUGUCAUUUAAUCCUAAGAAGGUUCUGCAUUAAAGAUGAGGAUAGUAAAAUAAAUCAGAUCUGCAGUAUUCAUACUUUUGUGUUAACCUUGGUAAUAUUUUGUUUAAUUUUGUAUUUUCAAUGUUUGUAAGAUUUAGUAUUUAUCAUAUUAGAGAAUCUGACAAGUUUCACGAAACAAGAGCCUUACUAAGUUUGAUGUUCUCUGCCAUUUUCUAUUUCUUUAAUGAAAUGUUGGUAAUGACCCACUAAGUUACUUAUGUGUUUCAUCAGUGGGUACUGGCCUGAGACCCUGAUAAUGGUUAAAAGUACAACUCUGAGGUCAGGCUGAUGACUUUCAGAUCUAGCUUAUUGUCUGGGUUUGGGCAAGUAACCCCUAUAUGUCCUUGUUUCUUCAUCUGUAAAAUGGGAUAAUAUUAGUAACUACCCAGGCCGGGCACAGUUGCACACCUGUAAUCCCUGCACUUUAGGAGGCUAAGGUAGAACGGCUUGAGCCCAGGAGUUGGAGACCAGCCUGGGCAACAGGCAUCUGCCUGUGGUCCCAGCUACUCAGGAGGCUGAGAUGGGAGGAUUGCUUGAGCCCAGGAUGAGACUGCAGUGAGCUGUGUUUGCGCCACUGUAUUCCAGUCUGGGAGAUACAAUGGGGAUGUGAAAAUGCAGGUUCCUAGGCAAACAAGCCAAGAUUCUGGAUACCAACUGGGUCCCAGGACUCAAAACAAUCAGCCUGAGUAAUUCUGAUGGAGGGAGUCUCCUGACGACACUAAAAAAACAACAAAAACGACCCCUCUUGGCUGAAUACAUUCAUAUGUUGCUUUGUACAAAAACUUGCUUUCAAAUAUCUGGGAAGAGUUAGAGAUAGGAAAGCAGAGGUCAUUUCAAAGAGAGAGAGUGAGGAUACCACCGGGAAGGCAGCGCCGAAAAAACCAGAGGGGAACCACUUGCCGAUCCCCCAGGCACAGUCUGGAGGUCCCAAUUCCCGCGGUAGGGGGGCGAGAGAUGCCACUCGUCUGAUCAGCAACCAUUUUGGGCCCGCUUGCGCCGCUUCUCCGGGGCGUCCGCGUUGUGCUCAUCCAGUUGCUUUUGAGGUUCCGGCCCCCUCCAAACCUCUGAAGCGCUCCGUGCACGCGACGCGGCGGCGGGGUAAG